UCGACCUGAGGUCAGGCAAGAACACCC
RNAcentral lists this ribosomal RNA (27 nucleotides) under Trebouxia usneae. RNAcentral's name for it is "partial 26S ribosomal RNA". Lineage: Eukaryota; Viridiplantae; Chlorophyta; Trebouxiophyceae; Trebouxiales; Trebouxiaceae. The record is from RNAcentral.